UGCUUCGAGAUGAGUAUUCCCACCCCCUUUGAGGGGUUAAGGCUCCCAGUAGACGACUGGGUUGAUAGGCCGGAUCUGGAAGCACCGUGAGGUGUGGAGGUGACCGGUACUAAUAGGCCGAGGGCUUGUCCUCAGUUG
RNAcentral lists this ribosomal RNA (138 nucleotides) under Streptomyces sp. SID8367. RNAcentral's name for it is "partial 23S ribosomal RNA". It matches the Rfam family "Bacterial large subunit ribosomal RNA", at positions 2795 to 2925 of the family's 2925-position model. Lineage: Bacteria; Bacillati; Actinomycetota; Actinomycetes; Kitasatosporales; Streptomycetaceae. The record is from RNAcentral.